AAAUUACAAUCUAAAGCUAUCACAACAACUUUGUGAUACAACCAUUGUAAAAAUUUAAAUAAUUAUUACAAUCCCAUAAAAAUGAAUAAGGAAUCAAGCACAUUGGUUUUCUAAAGUCCGUGAUCAUUCUUCAUGCCAAUUUCUACAUUCAACACUUGAACAUGCUAUUUAAUUCUAAAUAUCUCAUAUUCAAAAUUAAAUAUAUUAACCAUGAAUCUCAUUCACAAUCAUGUUAUACUAAUUUUGAGACUUAGAUUAAACAUUUUAAUCACCAAGAAAA
This 280-nucleotide unclassified non-coding RNA is filed under the name Hevea brasiliensis (rubber tree). The record is from RNAcentral. Lineage: Eukaryota; Viridiplantae; Streptophyta; Magnoliopsida; Malpighiales; Euphorbiaceae.